RNAcentral lists this ribosomal RNA (253 nucleotides) under uncultured prokaryote. Its description in RNAcentral is "partial 16S ribosomal RNA". It matches the Rfam family "Bacterial small subunit ribosomal RNA", at positions 524 to 776 of the family's 1533-position model. The record is from RNAcentral.
AACGUAGGACGCAAGCGUUAUCCGGAGUUACUGGGCGUAAAGCGCGGGCAGGCGGCUCGUCAAGUGGAUUGUGAAAGCACCCGGCUUAACCGGGUGAGGCCAGUCCAGACUGAUGAGCUGGAGGGCAGUAGAGGUAGGCGGAAUUCCGGGUGGAGUGGUGAAAUGCGUAGAGAUCCGGAGGAACACCAGAGGCGAAGGCGGCCUACUGGGCUGCACCUGACGCUGAGCCGCGAAAGCCAGGGGAGCGAACGGG